GCGCCCGUAGCUCAAUGGAUAGAGUAGCUGGCUACGAACCAGUUGGUUGUAGGUUCGACUCCUGCCGGGCGCG
This 73-nucleotide transfer RNA is filed under the name Candidatus Melainabacteria bacterium HGW-Melainabacteria-1. Its description in RNAcentral is "tRNA-Arg". It matches the Rfam family "tRNA". From Rfam's summary of the family: Transfer RNA (tRNA) molecules are approximately 80 nucleotides in length. Their secondary structure includes four short double-helical elements and three loops (D, anti-codon, and T loops). Further hydrogen bonds mediate the characteristic L-shaped molecular structure. tRNAs have two regions of fundamental functional importance: the anti-codon, which is responsible for specific mRNA codon recognition, and the 3' end, to which the tRNAs corresponding amino acid is attached (by aminoacyl-tRNA synthetases). tRNAs cope with the degeneracy of the genetic code in two manners: having more than one tRNA (with a specific anti-codon) for a particular amino acid; and 'wobble' base-pairing, i.e. permitting non-standard base-pairing at the 3rd anti-codon position. Lineage: Bacteria; Bacillati; Candidatus Melainabacteria. The record is from RNAcentral. RNAcentral also lists the same sequence under 2 other names.